GACGAACGCUGGCGGCGUGCUUAACACAUGCAAGUCGAACGGAAAGCCCGUGCUUUUGUUCGCUGCUGGAGUGGCGAACGCGUGUGUGUAACGCGUGAAACCUGCUCUUCACUUUCGGGUAACUUCAGGUAACUCGACCUAAUAUCGUAUAGGAUACCCUGUAGCAGGGUGGGGGUUGGAUAGUUUCGCCGGUUGGGGUUGGACUCGCGGCUUAUCAGCUAGUUGGUGGGGGAGGGGCUUACCAAGGCUUAGACGGGUAGCCGGCCUGUGAGGGUGUCCGGCCACAUUGGGACUGAGAUACGGCCCAGACUCCUACGGGAGGCAGCAGUGGGGAAUAUUGCACAAUGGGCGGAAGCCUGAUGCAGCAACGCCGCGUGCGGGAUGACGGCCUUCGGGUUGUAAACCGCUUUCGGCUGUGACGAAGCGUGAGUGACGGUACUUGGUGAAGAAGCACCGGCUAACUACGUG
Molecule: ribosomal RNA, 468 nt
Filed under: uncultured bacterium
Lineage: Bacteria
Description: partial 16S ribosomal RNA
Rfam family: Bacterial small subunit ribosomal RNA
Source: RNAcentral